UGCUGGCGAGGCGGACGCAGAUGUUAUGGUUGUUGGGGAACGUGCGGGAGCCGAAGCAGAUGCCUCCGCCGUGAAAGUAAAAGACAAUAGGGAGUUUUGUUGAAGAAUUAACUAUGGAUGUAGGUUUGUAGAGACGAAGACGAAGAUCAAUGUUUUCGUUGAAAAUAAGGUCUUUGUAGAGGAUUGAAUUGUCGUUGAUAAAAGGAACGUCGAAAGAAAUAUUUGGGGAUCGUGAAAUGGAGCCAUCGCUAUAGAGUUUGAGGAGGCCAAAGCAUUCUUCUACUACUUGAGGAAGUGAACCCAUUUGAUCCCUCUCUCUUUUAUUAACGAAUUGUGUUAGGGUUUGUGAGUUGGCAAUAUAGUGCCUAUGAGAGUCAUAUUAUAUAGAGAAGAAUACAAGGAUUAUGCUGGAUAAAGUAUUUGGUAGUCAAUGACGGAGUUUUAGUGCAGACAUUAUGAUCAUUUAAAAUGCGAAUUUGAAAUUAGAAUAUAUUUUGUAAUUCAAAAUACGUGUGCAUAUAUAUAAUGUUUAUUGUUUAACUAGAGUUAGUCGGAGUAGUCUAGCCUCGCAACUACAACUGAGAAUUGCAUAUUAAUUAAUAUAAAUUUACGACCAAAUUUUAAGUAGCUAUAAUAGCAUUGUAGCAAUAAUCUAAUUGAUCAAUUUAGUAUAUUAGAAAUUAUACUAGUACAUUUUUCGCUAGUUACAUUAAUUUAGGUAGAGCCACAAAAAAGGGGACAAAUUCAAAUUAAUUUUUUAACACUACUCUUCAAUAUUCGAAUUCCAUGACCAGCUACCGACCAUACUCCUAAGGGCAAAGCAGCUAGUUUGAUGACCGUGUCUCGUUUCUAUCUUUCCAGAUAUUUUUUUACGGGAAAAGUUUUUCUCACGACUGGCGUUCACUAGACUCUUAUUAUAGGAUAUCGAAUCGAUGGUCACCCACUUGGUUACAAUAACAUUUUUUUAAUCAAAUAAAAAAAGUAAUAAAAUCGGAUUUUGAUUGAACAUCAGUUAUAUUGUAUAAUUUGGUCUAGAGAGGAGUUACUGUUCCCUUGCAUAAUUGCAUACGUGUUUGAAGUUUGAAUGAGAAAGCGUAGUCGUGAUGAAUAUCCAGUAAGAUUCAUGUGAUUUGAUUUAUUAAGUUAUAUAUUGUCAUAGCCGCCACCACACAAUUUCGUAUAAUUCUGAGAUUGCUUAACGUCUACAUAGUGAUUUGGAAAAAAAAAGAGUCGCUUAAUUUUAUAGUUAUCUGUAAAUAAUGUUGAUAUUAAAUAGUGCAACUCUUAUUUAUUGAAAUCAAAUAGUGUCAUAUGAUAAUAUUAUUCAUCAUAAAAUAAAUAUUGUCCCUUAGUAAAUAGAUCGUUGUUCGUCAAAAAAUUGAAAGACUCAAUAGUACAAGAACAGACUCUAGGUUCAAUAAAAGUAAUUAUUAUAACUUAAUUAUUCCUUCAUUAGGAUUUAUGUACCCCAUCGAAGCAAUUAAGAACUUUAAAUUGGAGUAAUAAUAGUAUUAUUAGGGUUCCGCUAUGUUGGAACCACUCUAAGGUAGAACAUAUAUUCAUAACAAUUUAAUUAAAGUUAUAACGUGUCUUUAUUAUUUAUCACUUUAUGUAUGUAACUGUAAUUUAUACUCUACCUUAGAGCAGCUCUAAGGUAACCAUUCCCAUAUUAUUAAUAUCUAUUGAACAAUCAAAACUAUUUCCACAUCUCUUUUAAAUAUAUAGUUCCGACAAUUCACCGUCAAAGACGAAAUCAAACAAUUAUUAUAUUGGAGCAUAAUUUUCAAUUGAAAAGGAACAAAGAGGAAAUUAAGGCAGAUGACUAUUAGUCUAUAAAGAUCAACAAGUUCCUAUUUUGUCUGUUGUAAUUUAUUUAUUUAUUUAUGUUUUUUUUAACAACCCAUUAAUAAUCUAUUGUUGAACCGAGCCAAUUAAGAAAAUAUGAUUGGAGAUUUAAUUUCCUUACAGAUAGAUAUGUGACUAAUUUAUAUUUAUGAUAAUCAAGUUAAUGAGCUAGCAACGAGCUAGCUAACGUGUCAAUCUAAUCUAAAUCUACAAGAUUUUUCCAGGUCACCGUGCUUUAUUAUUAUUUCAGUACUGGUCAUAAGAUCUUCGGCUCUGGGCUACCGUUAUUCGGAUCCCUCUUUCUUACAUGCAUGUAAGAUAGGGAUUGCCCCGUUAUUCACUUUUACAAUUAAUUAAUUAAUGUGUUUGUACGGGAUAUUUUAGGAUGCAGUCGCUGCUCAUCUGUCAUCUCGAUGAAAGAUGAGGUGAUAAUGUUGAAAAACAAUUGAACCGGACAGCCAAAUGGUGGGCAAGGUUACCCCCAGAAGAAUAACCCAACACAAAUACCCGGUCAAAGUCAACUUCACCUAACCACGUAUCCAUUACAUUUGCAUGCAUUAUGGCUUGACCUUGAAGCCAUUUUAGGGCACAACAUGCAUCUUCUAAAGCCGCAGGCAGCCUAUGCUCCGGCCCUAGGCGGUAGUCGGGCUCAAUGACAGCGGCUUGAAGGAUGCUGGCGAGGCGGACGCAGAUGUUAUGGUUGUUGGGGAACGUGCGGGAGCCGAAGCAGAAGCCUCCGCCGUGAAAGUAAAAGACAAUAGGGAGUUUUGUUGAAGAAUUAACUAUGGAUGUAGGUUUGUAGAGACGAAGACGAAGAUCAAUGUUUUCGUUGAAAAUAAGGUCUUUGUAGAGGAUUGAAUUGUCGUUGAUAAAAGGAACGUCGAAAGAAAUAUUUGGGGAUCGUGAAAUGGAGCCAUCGCUAUAGAGUUUGAGGAGGCCAAAGCAUUCUUCUACUACUUGAG
Molecule: long non-coding RNA, 2807 nt
Filed under: Citrus sinensis (sweet orange)
Lineage: Eukaryota; Viridiplantae; Streptophyta; Magnoliopsida; Sapindales; Rutaceae
Description: long non-coding RNA (CSIN_LNC001379)
Source: RNAcentral